GGAACGAAACGGCGAGUACUAAUACUGCUCGCUAAUGACGGUACCUGAAGAAGAAGCACCGGCUAACUACGUGCCAGCAGCCGCGGUAAUACGUAGGGUGCGAGCGUUAAUCGGAAUUACUGGGCGUAAAGCGUGCGCAGGCGGUUGUGUAAGACAGGUGUGAAAUCCCCGGGCUUAACCUGGGAACUGCGCUUGUGACUGCACAGCUAGAGUAUGGCAGAGGGGGGUGGAAUUCCACGUGUAGCAGUGAAAUGCGUAGAGAUGUGGAGGAACACCGAUGGCGAAGGCAGCCCCCUGGGCCAAUACUGACGCUCAUGCACGAAAGCGUGGGGAGCAAACAGGAUUAGAUACCCUGGUAGUCCACGCCCUAAACGAUGUCGACUAGGUGUUCGGUGAGGAGACUCAUUGAGUACCGCAGCUAACGCGUGAAGUCGACCGCCUGGGGAGUACGGUCGCAAGAUUAAAAACUCAAAAGGAAUUGACGGGGU
This 488-nucleotide ribosomal RNA is filed under the name uncultured bacterium. Its description in RNAcentral is "bacterial SSU rRNA". It matches the Rfam family "Bacterial small subunit ribosomal RNA", at positions 442 to 919 of the family's 1533-position model. The record is from RNAcentral.